This 1392-nucleotide long non-coding RNA is filed under the name Oryctolagus cuniculus (rabbit). RNAcentral describes it as "lncRNA (ENSOCUG00000033924.1)". The record is from RNAcentral. Lineage: Eukaryota; Metazoa; Chordata; Mammalia; Lagomorpha; Leporidae.
AUGGUGCUGGCCUGGGCCUGGGUAGGGAUGGGUUGGUGCUGGCCUGGGGCCGGGCAGGGGUGGGACGCCGCACAGCCCCGCCUCUGCGUAGGCUUUCCAUGGAUGCAGAGGGUGGGAUGGUGCUGGCCUGGGCCCGGGCAGGGGUGGGACGCCGCACAGCCCCGCCUCUGCGUAGGCUCUCUGUGGAUGCAGAGGGUGGGAUGGUGCUGGCCUGGGCCUGGGCAGGGGUGGGACAUGGAGGGCACAGAGUCUGUUUCGUGCAGGACGAGUGAGCUCUGGAGCUGUGUCCCGAGUCUGCGCGCGCUCCUGCCCCUGCUCUGGGUGAAGAGGAAGCAGACGGGGCUGCUGCCAGAAGUGAGGCGGGGUGGGGGGAGAAAGCGCCCGGGCUCCUGCCCCUCGCCCAUCAGGGCUCGGCUGUCCCUCUGGUUCCUGCUGCUGCCCGGGCUCCUGCCUCUCGCCCAUCAGGGCUUGGCUGUCCCUCUGGUUCCUGCUGCUGCCCGGGCUCCUGCCUCUCGCCCAUCAGGGCUCGGCUGUCCCUCUGGUUCCUGCUGCUGCCCGGGCUCCUGCCCCUUACCCAUCAGGGCUCGGCUGUCCCUCUGGUUCCUGCUGCUGCCCGGGCUCCUGCCCCUCGCCCAUCAGGGCUCCUCUGCCCCUCUGGUUCCUGCUGCUACGCGGCCUCCUGCCCCUCGCCCAUUAGGGCUCCUCUGUCCCUCUGGUUCCUGCUGCUGCCCGGGCUCCUGCCCCUUACCCAUCAGGGCUCGGCUGUCCCUCUGGUUCCUGCUGCUGCCCGGGCUCCUGCCCCUCGCCCAUCAGGGCUCCUCUGCCCCUCUGGUUCCUGCUGCUACGCGGCCUCCUGCCCCUCGCCCAUUAGGGCUCCUCUGUCCCUCUGGUUCCUGCUGCUGCCCGGGCUCCUGCCCCUUACCCAUCAGGGCUCCUCUGUCCCUCUGGUUCCUGCUGCUGCCCGGGCUCCUGCCCCUCGCCCAUCAGGGCUCCUCUGCCCCUCUGGUUCCUGCUGCUACGCGGCCUCCUGCCCCUCGCCCAUUAGGGCUCCUCUGUCCCUCUGGUUCCUGCUGCUGCCCGGGCUCCUGCCUCUCACCCAUCAGGGCUCGGCUGUCCCUCUGGUUCCUGCUGCUGCCCGGCCUCCUGCCCUCACCCAUCAGGGCUCCUCUGCCCCUCUGGUUCCUGCUGCUGCCCGGGCUCCUGCCCCUCGCCCAUCAGGGCUCCUCUGCCCCUCUGGUUCCUGCUGCUACACGGCCUCCUGCCCCUCGCCCAUUAGGGCUCCUCUGUCCCUCUGGUUCCUGCUGCUGCCCGGGCUCCUGCCCCUUACCCAUCAGGGCUCCUCUGUCCCUCUGGUUCCUGCUGCUGCCUGGGCUCCUGCCCCUCACCCAUUAG